GAUGAACGCUGGCGGCGUGCCUAAUACAUGCAAGUCGAGCGAACAGACGAGGAGCUUGCUCCUCUGACGUUAGCGGCGGACGGGUGAGUAACACGUGGAUAACCUACCUAUAAGACUGGGAUAACUUCGGGAAACCGGAGCUAAUACCGGAUAAUAUAUUGAACCGCAUUGUUCAAUAGUGAAAGACGGUUUUGCUGUCACUUAUAGAUGGAUCCGCGCCGCAUUGGCUAGUUGGUAAGGUAACGGCUUACCAAGGCAACGAUGCGUAGCCGACCGGCGAGGGUGAUAGGCGACACUGGAACUGAGACACGGUCCAGACUCCUACGGGAGGCAGCAGUAGGGAAUCUUCCGCAAUGGGCGAAAGCUUGACGGAGCAACGCCGCGUGAGUGAUGAAGGUCUUCGGAUCGUAAAACUCUGUUAUGAGGGAAGAACAAAUGUGUAAGUAACUAUGCACGUCUUGACGGUACCUAAUCAGAAAGCCACGGCUAACUACGUG
This 497-nucleotide ribosomal RNA is filed under the name uncultured bacterium. Its description in RNAcentral is "partial 16S ribosomal RNA". It matches the Rfam family "Bacterial small subunit ribosomal RNA", at positions 28 to 507 of the family's 1533-position model. The record is from RNAcentral.